AAGGAGCGAACUUAAGGGAGAACAAGUUAUGGAGGAAGGUCCCUCCUCGGAGAGGCAUUUCCUAUUUUGACAACAGCAACACAACAGCCACAGAAGGAAGGCAAUUUGGGGUGAGUUGGCCUUAUUGUAAAGAUGAAGCUAUGGCAUAAAUGCAGCAUGGAUCCACCAGCCCUGGACAUUACUG
Melopsittacus undulatus (budgerigar) is the source of this 184-nucleotide long non-coding RNA. RefSeq lists it as uncharacterized. The record is from RefSeq and is a predicted model, not a curated record. The transcript is spliced from 3 exons. Lineage: Eukaryota; Metazoa; Chordata; Aves; Psittaciformes; Psittaculidae.